UACAGAGGGUGCGAGCGUUAAUCGGAAUUACUGGGCGUAAAGGGCGCGUAGGUGGUUAAUUAAGUCAGAUGUGAAAUCCCCGGGCUUAACCUGGGAAUUGCAUUUGAAACUGGUUGGCUAGAGUAUGGUAGAGGUAAGUGGAAUUUCCGGUGUAGCGGUGAAAUGCGUAGAUAUCGGAAGGAACACCAGUGGCGAAGGCGACUUACUGGACCAUUACUGACACUGAGGCGCGAAAGCGUGGGGAGCGAAC
Molecule: ribosomal RNA, 250 nt
Filed under: uncultured bacterium
Lineage: Bacteria
Description: partial 16S ribosomal RNA
Rfam family: Bacterial small subunit ribosomal RNA
Source: RNAcentral